RNAcentral lists this ribosomal RNA (2901 nucleotides) under Salmonella enterica. Its description in RNAcentral is "bacterial LSU rRNA". It matches the Rfam family "Bacterial large subunit ribosomal RNA". Lineage: Bacteria; Pseudomonadati; Pseudomonadota; Gammaproteobacteria; Enterobacterales; Enterobacteriaceae. The record is from RNAcentral.
UUAAGCGACUAAGCGUACACGGUGGAUGCCCUGGCAGUCAGAGGCGAUGAAGGACGUGCUAAUCUGCGAUAAGCGCCGGUAAGGUGAUAUGAACCGUUAUAACCGGCGAUUUCCGAAUGGGGAAACCCAGUGUGACUCGUCACACUAUCAUUAACUGAAUCCAUAGGUUAAUGAGGCGAACCGGGGGAACUGAAACAUCUAAGUACCCCGAGGAAAAGAAAUCAACCGAGAUUCCCCCAGUAGCGGCGAGCGAACGGGGAGGAGCCCAGAGCCUGAAUCAGCAUGUGUGUUAGUGGAAGCGUCUGGAAAGGCGCGCGAUACAGGGUGACAGCCCCGUACACAAAAGCGCAUGUGCUGUGAGCUCGAUGAGUAGGGCGGGACACGUGGUAUCCUGUCUGAAUAUGGGGGGACCAUCCUCCAAGGCUAAAUACUCCUGACUGACCGAUAGUGAACCAGUACCGUGAGGGAAAGGCGAAAAGAACCCCGGCGAGGGGAGUGAAAAAGAACCUGAAACCGUGUACGUACAAGCAGUGGGAGCACCCUUUGGGGUGUGACUGCGUACCUUUUGUAUAAUGGGUCAGCGACUUAUAUUCUGUAGCAAGGUUAACCGAAUAGGGGAGCCGGAGGGAAACCGAGUCUUAAUUGGGCGUUAAGUUGCAGGGUAUAGACCCGAAACCCGGUGAUCUAGCCAUGGGCAGGUUGAAGGUUGGGUAACACUAACUGGAGGACCGAACCGACUAAUGUUGAAAAAUUAGCGGAUGACCUGUGGCUGGGGGUGAAAGGCCAAUCAAACCGGGAGAUAGCUGGUUCUCCCCGAAAGCUAUUUAGGUAGCGCCUCGUGAAUUCAUCUCCGGGGGUAGAGCACUGUUUCGGCUAGGGGGCCAUCCCGGCUUACCAACCCGAUGCAAACUGCGAAUACCGGAGAAUGUUAUCACGGGAGACACACGGCGGGUGCUAACGUCCGUCGUGAAGAGGGAAACAACCCAGACCGCCAGCUAAGGUCCCAAAGUCAUGGUUAAGUGGGAAACGAUGUGGGAAGGCCCAGACAGCCAGGAUGUUGGCUUAGAAGCAGCCAUCAUUUAAAGAAAGCGUAAUAGCUCACUGGUCGAGUCGGCCUGCGCGGAAGAUGUAACGGGGCUAAACCAUGCACCGAAGCUGCGGCAGCGACACUAUGUGUUGUUGGGUAGGGGAGCGUUCUGUAAGCCUGUGAAGGUGGCCUGUGAGGGUUGCUGGAGGUAUCAGAAGUGCGAAUGCUGACAUAAGUAACGAUAAAGCGGGUGAAAAGCCCGCUCGCCGGAAGACCAAGGGUUCCUGUCCAACGUUAAUCGGGGCAGGGUGAGUCGACCCCUAAGGCGAGGCCGAAAGGCGUAGUCGAUGGGAAACGGGUUAAUAUUCCCGUACUUGGUGUUACUGCGAAGGGGGGACGGAGAAGGCUAUGUUGGCCGGGCGACGGUUGUCCCGGUUUAAGCGUGUAGGCUGGUUUUCCAGGCAAAUCCGGAAAAUCAAGGCUGAGGCGUGACGACGAGGCACUACGGUGCUGAAGCAACAAAUGCCCUGCUUCCAGGAAAAGCCUCUAAGCAUCAGGUAACAUCAAAUCGUACCCCAAACCGACACAGGUGGUCAGGUAGAGAAUACCAAGGCGCUUGAGAGAACUCGGGUGAAGGAACUAGGCAAAAUGGUGCCGUAACUUCGGGAGAAGGCACGCUGACAUGUAGGUGAAGUGAUUUACUCAUGGAGCUGAAGUCAGUCGAAGAUACCAGCUGGCUGCAACUGUUUAUUAAAAACACAGCACUGUGCAAACACGAAAGUGGACGUAUACGGUGUGACGCCUGCCCGGUGCCGGAAGGUUAAUUGAUGGGGUCAGCGCAAGCGAAGCUCCUGAUCGAAGCCCCGGUAAACGGCGGCCGUAACUAUAACGGUCCUAAGGUAGCGAAAUUCCUUGUCGGGUAAGUUCCGACCUGCACGAAUGGCGUAAUGAUGGCCAGGCUGUCUCCACCCGAGACUCAGUGAAAUUGAACUCGCUGUGAAGAUGCAGUGUACCCGCGGCAAGACGGAAAGACCCCGUGAACCUUUACUAUAGCUUGACACUGAACAUUGAGCCUUGAUGUGUAGGAUAGGUGGGAGGCUUUGAAGUGUGGACGCCAGUCUGCAUGGAGCCGGCCUUGAAAUACCACCCUUUAAUGUUUGAUGUUCUAACGUGGACCCGUAAUCCGGGUUGCGGACAGUGUCUGGUGGGUAGUUUGACUGGGGCGGUCUCCUCCUAAAGAGUAACGGAGGAGCACGAAGGUUGGCUAAUCCUGGUCGGACAUCAGGAGGUUAGUGCAAUGGCAUAAGCCAGCUUGACUGCGAGCGUGACGGCGCGAGCAGGUGCGAAAGCAGGUCAUAGUGAUCCGGUGGUUCUGAAUGGAAGGGCCAUCGCUCAACGGAUAAAAGGUACUCCGGGGAUAACAGGCUGAUACCGCCCAAGAGUUCAUAUCGACGGCGGUGUUUGGCACCUCGAUGUCGGCUCAUCACAUCCUGGGGCUGAAGUAGGUCCCAAGGGUAUGGCUGUUCGCCAUUUAAAGUGGUACGCGAGCUGGGUUUAGAACGUCGUGAGACAGUUCGGUCCCUAUCUGCCGUGGGCGCUGGAGAACUGAGGGGGGCUGCUCCUAGUACGAGAGGACCGGAGUGGACGCAUCACUGGUGUUCGGGUUGUCAUGCCAAUGGCACUGCCCGGUAGCUAAAUGCGGAAGAGAUAAGUGCUGAAAGCAUCUAAGCACGAAACUUGCCCCGAGAUGAGUUCUCCCUGAGACUUUAGGUCUCCUGAAGGAACGUUGAAGACGACGACGUUGAUAGGCCGGGUGUGUAAGCGCAGCGAUGCGUUGAGCUAACCGGUACUAAUGAACCGUGAGGCUUAACCUU